CUUGUGGUUAACAGCCACACGCUCUAACCAACUGAGCUAUUCCAGCAGUCGAGUGGGGUAGUCUCUUACUAAUAUGAAAUCUAUCAGGAAUUUAGUGAGCUAUUCCACCGCCUAUUUGAGAAUUGAGAGGCUUGGGUUUAGGGUUGGUUUGGAUUUUUGUCCGUCGGAUUUAAAAUUCUCUGAACUUUCGAUUCACUGGGGUUGAACCAUGUUGUGGACGUUUCGGAGUUUCUCUUUUCUAGGUGCGAAUCGUGCCUGGGCUUCGUCGUUGUUAAUUUUGGUGAUGGUAAAUUCCGAGUGAAAUUAUGUUUUCUGUUACCGCCGAAUUGACCUUGGAUGGGCAUAUCUGAAUCUUGGGAUCUGCCGUCACGUUGUCGCAUUGUGCUUUUUAUUUAGGAUUAUGCAUGCGAGAAAGUGAGAUAGAAAGCAGUGUGGUAUUUUAGCGUUACUCGUGAUACUAUAAAUAAUAAGCUGUAACAGUUUCUCAUUGUGCAUGGCACACUAAUGAUAGAUCAUAAAAUUGAAUUUUGAUGGUCUCCUCUUUCUAGUGCCAGAUGUUUAUCACAAUAAGCACCUGCGCUGAUUGAGAGUAUAAUCUGCUAUUAAUCUCCUAUCUUAAUGUUAUGGGUGUUUCAGUGUGGAAGUUGAUCUGGCAGAAAUUAGAAUAUGAAGAUGCGCCUUUUCACUUGGAAAAACUAAACCAUGUAUUUGCUGAGCAGAAACGCAGCUUAAUUCGUAUUUAGACUCCCAUAGCAAGUUCAUUUGCUUGAAGCUUGUCCUUUGUUCGUUGGCUUCCCUGUGUAUGUUACCGUGGUAAGUUCUUUUCAGAACCCCGUUUGUUAUUAUUUAGAGUUUGAGGGAAUUUAAUGUUUCCAGAUCUGGGUUUACAAGAGCUGCUGAAGCAAGUUUAUGAAAGGACAAUUUGCUUAAAAUGUGUUAGAAUAGACAUUCAUUUAGGACGACCACAUCAGCAAUAUGCCAACAGGUUGUAAGUUAAAAUCAGAAGACUAAAGACUUAAGCCAUAUAGUAGCAAUGUUCAAAUUUUCCUCCGAGGUAUGUGGGAAUGCAUUUUGUUAGACACGUGAUGAAUCUAUCGUUCAUAUUUUUAUUUUGCAAUCUAGUAGCAAUCUAGUUCACCUCUCCUUACUCCUUCAGAGUUGACCAAAGGCAUCCUAAAAAUAUCUGACAGUGGUUACAGAUUAGGUUUGCUUGAUUGGAUUGGAUGGGAUUCCUGUAGAAUGUGAAGAUUAUACCACUCAUUCUCCACAUCUAUAGCAAAUUUGGUAUUCCUAGAAUAAGCCAAUAUUUCAAAGUAAGCAGAGUUUCCUGUUGGAUGUUUUGAAUAUGGCUUGCCAAUGCGUCCUAAAUCUAAUAAUGCCCUUUUUACUUCUGAUCACCCUGUCUAUGGAAUCAGUUCAACUUAUCUUAAGAGAUCCUUUAAAUUUUCCCUUUUCUGUAAGUUUUUACAGCAUUUUCUAAGCACUAACUGUUCAGAGAGAAGGAAAGAUAGCUUCAUCUAUGUAUAAAUAUCAGAUCCUAUCAUGGGCUAUGUAGAUAAUAUUGAAGGGAUUCAGCUAAUGGGUCUGGGGCCGGGUUCUCACAAACUAGUGGGAGGAUUUUUUGUUAAAUGCAGGUCCUUUGUUAGGAUGAGUAGAUCAAGCAAAACAAGGAACGAGUUGCUAAUUUCAAUGUGUUGACUUUAGCUUCUAAUACGUUGGGAUGUAGAAGCUAUUGAUUUGUUUUCAAAGACAAAUUAGUUCAUUAUUUGGGUAGUGGGUAUUUUUAUGUUUGACUUUAUCUUGAUAAUUUUUCUCCUCUUGCAAGUCUUUUAUUUA
This is a long non-coding RNA of Neltuma alba, 1836 nucleotides long. RefSeq lists it as uncharacterized. Lineage: Eukaryota; Viridiplantae; Streptophyta; Magnoliopsida; Fabales; Fabaceae. The transcript has 2 exons. The record is from RefSeq and is a predicted model, not a curated record.